Molecule: ribosomal RNA, 497 nt
Filed under: uncultured bacterium
Lineage: Bacteria
Description: partial 16S ribosomal RNA
Rfam family: Bacterial small subunit ribosomal RNA
Source: RNAcentral
GAUGAACGCUGGCGGCGUGCCUAAUACAUGCAAGUCGAGCGAACGGACGAGAAGCUUGCUUCUCUGAUGUUAGCGGCGGACGGGUGAGUAACAUGUGGAUAACCUACCUAUAAGACUGGGAUAACUUCGGGAAACCGGAGCUAAUACCGGAUAAUAUUUUGAACCGCAUGGUUCAAAAGUAAAAGACGGUCUUGCUGUCACUUAUAGAUGGAUCCGCGCUGCAUUAGCUAGUUGGUAAGGUAACGGCUUACCAAGGCAACGAUGCAUAGCCGACCUGAGAGGGUGAUCGGCCACACUGGAACUGAGACACGGUCCAGACUCCUACGGGAGGCAGCAGUAGGGAAUCUUCCGCAAUGGGCGAAAGCCUGACGGAGCAACGCCGCGUGAGUGAUGAAGGUCUUCGGAUCGUAAAACUCUGUUAUUAGGGAAGAACAUAUGCGUAAGUAACUGUGCACAUCUUGACGGUACCUAAUCAGAAAGCCACGGCUAACUACGUG